RNAcentral lists this transfer RNA (63 nucleotides) under Mitjaevia dworakowskae. RNAcentral's name for it is "tRNA-Asp". Lineage: Eukaryota; Metazoa; Arthropoda; Insecta; Hemiptera; Cicadellidae. The record is from RNAcentral.
AAAGAUUUAGUUUAAAUAAAACUUAAAGUCGUCAAUUUUAAAUUGCUUAAUAAGCAAUCUUUU